GUGGGGAAUAUUGGACAAUGGGCGAAAGCCUGAUCCAGCCAUGCCGCGUGUGUGAAGAAGGUCUUCGGAUUGUAAAGCACUUUAAGUUGGGAGGAAGGGUAGUAACCUAAUACGUUGCUACUUUGACGUUACCGACAGAAUAAGCACCGGCUAACUUCGUGCCAGCAGCCGCGGUAAUACGAAGGGUGCAAGCGUUAAUCGGAAUUACUGGGCGUAAAGCGCGCGUAGGUGGUUCAGUAAGUUGGAAGUGAAAUCCCCGGGCUCAACCUGGGAACUGCUUUCAAAACUGCUGAGCUAGAGUACGGUAGAGGGUGGUGGAAUUUCCUGUGUAGCGGUGAAAUGUGUAGAUAUAGGAAGGAACACCAGUGGCGAAGGCGACCACCUGGACUGAUACUGACACUGAGGUGCGAAAGCGUGGGGAGCAAACAGGAUUAGAAACCCGUGUAGUCC
Molecule: ribosomal RNA, 450 nt
Filed under: uncultured bacterium
Lineage: Bacteria
Description: partial 16S ribosomal RNA
Rfam family: Bacterial small subunit ribosomal RNA
Source: RNAcentral